AUGGGUAGACGCAUGUGUAGGUUAAAAUCCCUAAUUUUGUAUGGUUGUUUGGAAUGGUUAGAUUUUGAUGAUUAUCCUUGAUUGUGGUGAUUUAAUUGUGUUAAAACUGAAAAUUAACGUUAUAUAAUUAGGGUAUAUAUGAGUUAUAAUUUUCUGAACGUGUAGCUUUUUACGGAAUCGAAAUCGGAGGUCCGAAAGUCCUCCAACGAUGAAAAAUGCAGAAAAUUCUGCAUUCUGUUUUACAGUA
This 247-nucleotide long non-coding RNA is filed under the name Lathyrus oleraceus (garden pea). RNAcentral's name for it is "Pisum sativum (pea) long non-coding RNA (PSAT_LNC040999)". The record is from RNAcentral. Lineage: Eukaryota; Viridiplantae; Streptophyta; Magnoliopsida; Fabales; Fabaceae.